This 305-nucleotide ribosomal RNA is filed under the name uncultured bacterium. Its description in RNAcentral is "bacterial SSU rRNA". It matches the Rfam family "Bacterial small subunit ribosomal RNA", at positions 338 to 635 of the family's 1533-position model. The record is from RNAcentral.
CCUACGGGGCGCAGCAGUAGGGAAUUUUCGUCAAUGGGCGCAAGCCUGAACGAGCAAUGCCGCGUGAACGAGGAAGGUCUUCGGAUCGUAAAGUUCUGUUGAAGGGGAAAAAGAGCGGAGAGAGGAAAUGGUCUCCGAUUGAUAUUACCCUUCGAGGAAGUCACGGCUAACUACGUGCCAGCAGCCGCGGUAAUACGUAGGUGGCGAGCGUUAUCCGGAAUGAUUGGGUGUAAAGGGAGCGUAGACGGCGUAUCAAGUCUGAUGUGAAAGGCAGGGGCUCAACCCCUGGACUGCAUUGGAAACUG